GGAUUGAACGCUGGCGGCAUGCCUUACACAUGCAAGUCGAACGGCAGCACGGGAGCAAUCCUGGUGGCGAGUGGCGAACGGGUGAGUAAUACAUCGGAACGUGCCCAAUCGUGGGGGAUAACGCAGCGAAAGCUGUGCUAAUACCGCAUAAGAUCUACGGAUGAAAGCAGGGGAUCGCAAGACCUUGCGCGAAUGGAGCGGCCGAUGGCAGAUUAGGUAGUUGGUGAGGUAAAGGCUCACCAAGCCUCCGAUCUGUAGCUGGUCUGAGAGGACGACCAGCCACACUGGGACUGAGACACGGCCCAGACUCCUACGGGAGGCAGCAGUGGGGAAUUUUGGACAAUGGGCGAAGCCUGAUCCAGCCAUGCCGCGUGCAGGAUGAAGGCUUCGGUUGUAACUGCUUUGUACGGAACGAAAGUACUCUUUACUAAUAAGAGGAUCAUGACGUACGUAAGAAUAAGCGACCGACUAACUACGUACG
RNAcentral lists this ribosomal RNA (481 nucleotides) under uncultured soil bacterium. RNAcentral's name for it is "bacterial SSU rRNA". It matches the Rfam family "Bacterial small subunit ribosomal RNA", at positions 27 to 509 of the family's 1533-position model. The record is from RNAcentral.